This 253-nucleotide ribosomal RNA is filed under the name uncultured bacterium. RNAcentral's name for it is "partial 16S ribosomal RNA". It matches the Rfam family "Bacterial small subunit ribosomal RNA", at positions 524 to 776 of the family's 1533-position model. The record is from RNAcentral.
UACGUAGGGUGCAGGCGUUAAUCGGAAUUUCUGGGCGUAAAGCGUGCGCAGGCGGUCUGCUAAGAGAGAUGUGAAAGCCCCGGGCUUAACCUGGGAACUGCGUUUCUAACUGGCAGGCUUGAGUGUGGCAGAGGGGGGUGGAAUUCCACGUGUAGCAGUGAAAUGCGUAGAGAUGUGGAGGAACACCGAUGGCGAAGGCAGCCCCCUGGGCUAACACUGACGCUCAUGCACGAAAGCGUGGGGAGCAAACAGG